This 4822-nucleotide long non-coding RNA is filed under the name Sus scrofa (pig). RNAcentral describes it as "lncRNA (ENSSSCG00015047151.1)". The record is from RNAcentral. Lineage: Eukaryota; Metazoa; Chordata; Mammalia; Artiodactyla; Suidae.
GUUACAUGAAUUGGGCCCUGCCUGCUUCUCUAUCUUUAAUCAUUAAGACCCACACACACUGGUUUUCUUUCUAUUCUUCAAAUACACCUCAAUCUCUCCUUAGUUUCUGGAUUUCUGCCUGGAAGGCUUGUCCCUCAGGUUGGCUUUACCAGACCCCAGCUCAAAUGCCUGCCUUAUCAGAGAAGGCAUUCCCUGAUCACACCAAAGAGCUCUCCCCAUACUCCCUCUGCAAAGUUCCUAGAAGCUCUCAACAAAUUAUUUUCUGAAUAAAUAAAUGAAUGGAUAACUAAAAUACAUGCCAAAAUAUAAAUACCCACAGGGAACAUAACUACCAGCUUUCUUUGCUCUUUCUAUAUAACUUACAAGUCUAUUUGUUGCUAUUGCUAUACCUUCACAGGUAUUAUACCUAAAUGUUUAAAAUAAAUGAACCCAUCGAGGCUCAGUGGUUAAUGAACCCUACUAGUAUCCAUGAGGACAUGGGUCCGAUCCCUGGCCUCACUGAGUGGGUUAGAGAUCAGGCGUUGCCGUAAGCUAUAGCACAGGACACAAACGUGACUUGGGUCCAGUGUUGCUGUGGCAGUAGCACAUGCCAGCAGCUGCAGCUCCAAUUCGACCCCUAGCCUGGGAACUUCCAUAUGCCAUAGGUGCAGCCCUAAAAAGACAAAAAAUAAAAUAAAAUAAAGGAAUGUGCAAAGUUAUUAUACACAGACAAUGCAAACAAAAAGGUAGCAGACAUACCAAGAUUAAUAACAGAAAAUAAUUUAAGGAACAAACAAUUAACACAAAAAAGAUCAUGUUGGGAGUUCCCAUUAUGGCUCAGUGGGUUAAGAACACAGCUAGUAUCCAUGAGGAUGUUGGUUCAAUCCCUGACCUCACUAAGUGAAAUACGGAUCCAGUGUUGCCAACAAGCUGCAAGCAGAUGUGGCUCGGUUCUGGCAUUGCCUUGGCUGUGGUGUAGGCUAGCAGCUACAACUCCAAUUCUAUCCCUAGCCUGGGAACUUCCAUAGGCCAUGGCUGCAGCCUUAAAAAAUAAAAAUAAAGAAUAAAAAAAGAGAUUGUUACUAUUAAAAGACACUAUUGCAAAGUCAUAAACUAUACAACAAACUACAUCACGUUAAAACCUACAAAACCAGAAAUACAAGGAGAAUUUAAGAAAAAGAACAAUAACAGGAGAAUGUGAACAUAGCUCCUCAAAAGGAUGAUGCCAUUUACAAGCCAGAUUUAACAGAUACAUACAUACCACUCUGAACCCAACAAAGAAUAACCCAUAUGAAAUAUCUGUAAAAAUUCGUUACAAUUAAGCCAUAUAAGUUAUACAAGGAGUCUCAAUUAUUGCAAAAUUAGGAAAUACUACAGCCAUAGUCUCUGAUUUUAAUAAAAUUAAAUAUGAAAUUAACAAAAACUAUGAUAUGAAAGAAGGAAACUAAAAUGACAGACUAUUUAAAAACUACCAAAAGGAAGGAUACAAUAUUUCUAAAACUAUGGAGAUUUGGUCAAAAGGCUUCCUCAGAAAACCAAAGACCAAUUUUCAAUUGUGAAUGUAUGCAGAUACAAAUCCAAUCUAGCAGGGCAUUGAAAGAAUAGUGCACCAUGACUGCAAGAUUUUUAUUGCUUUAGGUGAAAUGGUGAAAUAUCAGCAAUAAAUCAAGUAUUGGGGAGAUCCAGAGCAAGGUGAUUUGCACUGCAUAUGUCUAACACUGGACAUUUAGGGAUGUAUUAAUGUAAUUGACUUUCAGUAGUUCAAAUAAACAUGAUUCAUUUGCAUGAUACAUUUUGCAAAGUAAAAACAGCAGCGGCUUUACACCAACACUAUCCAGACUUCCCAAAGACUGCUCAAUGUGCAUGGUAAGAAAGAAUAUCCAUUUUAUAUUAUACUGACAAAAAUCAUUAGGCAUAAAGUUCUUUCAAAAGAAUCAAAAUGUAUAUUUCAAUGUCAACUUAAAUUUUUUCCUCUAUUUGAAGAUUACUCAUAGAACUGUCAUCUCCCACAGCUAAGUAAAAAUUUUCUUUCUUAAAAGUAUGUUUGUUUUUCAUAAUACAAGCAACCUGAAGUAGCCUAUUAUAGUAGGGAAAUACUCAGGAUUAAAGGGAAACCUUAAAAGGGAGAAGAUUCUGCUCUGAUUUUCAUUUAAGUUAGUACUGACAAAAACUCUAUCCUAGUUAUUCUAAGCUAGGUCUUAUACACAAAACCACUUGGGUAGCCCCCCUUAUCUGUGGGUAUAUGUUCCAAGACCUGCAGUGUAUGUCUGAAACAGAAGACAGUACUGGCCCCUGUUUUCUGUUCAUGUCUUCCACCCAAAAUUUGAUGCCUUUUCUAUCUUACCUAGGUAAUCCUCACACAUUGUAGCCAUAACUUUUGCAAUAUGAGGUGUGACAACAAAACUAGUAUGAAUUUCUUUUUCCUUCUUCACGAUUUCACAGAUGGAAGAUUCAUUCUUACCAGAAGUCUUAGCAAUCUCAGUGGAGAAUUUUUUUUCAUUUUUUAUUGACUUUCACCGUUUCACCAAAAGCGAGCACUUAACGGAUUCUCUUUGACGGAUCUGAACUGCCAGCAUCACUACUCUUGUGCUUUGGAACCAUCAUUAAGUAAAAUAAGGGCAACUUGAACCUCCACAACUAAUGUGAUAACUGAACCAGCUACUAAGUAACUAACGGGAAAGGUACACUGGCUAAAGGGAUGAUUCACAUCCCAGCUGGGACAGAACAAGGAUGCCACGAAAUUUCAUCACGCUAGCUCAGAAUGGUGAACAAUCUAAAACUUAUUUCUGGAAUUUCCCAUUUCAUCUUUUCAUACCGUGGCUGAUGGUGGGUAACUGAAACCAUGGAAAGCAAAACUCUGGAUAGGAAAACCAUGGGGAAAGGGGAACUACUGUCAUUUGUUGGCCAACAUAAUCACUGUUUCUUCAACUCAUCUGGUAUGGAAGAAAGAAGGUCCUUUAAAUAAAAACAACCACAAUUUUACAAUGGACCAGAACAGUGGUAAGCUGACAGAGGUUUCGCAUCAAACUGACGUGAACCACUCAAUUGAUUUUGCCACCCCCAAUGUGACAUGUGAAGAGCUGAGCAGCAUAGGAACAGCUAGACAGCUGAGCUCAAAAAAACUGUUGCAUUAUUGAAGUAUUACAUUAUUCCAGGUCAAAAACUGCUACUUUCUUAUUAUAAAUAAAACUGCUUAAGGUCAAAGAUGUUACUAUACUAAGUUCUGUUCGAGGAUCCAUUCAGGACAGUACUGUCUCCAAUCUUACAAAGGAACAAGAAAAAGCACUGAGGAUCAAACAGCUAUUCUAAAAUUAUCUGCACCCUGCUUCCAUCCAUUAGUGUGACAACUGAAGAAGUGGCCUUAAACAGGUUUUACCCUUAGGUUACACCACUUAAGCAUACUUUUUCUGGGCAGACUGAGCUAUCUAGGAUGUUUAUGGGUUUUGAGAUAUUUAUGGAAAAAUUUUCUUAAGUUGACAUAAGGAAGACCAUAUAACAUUACAGUAACUUCCUUGGAGCCAUUUUUGGACAUACACACAAAAAAAUCACUAGAAUUAUCUAAAGUGAUAGUUCUGACUCAUACGACAAUCUUGUUGUUUCAGUUGUGAAGGCAUAAAAGUUUCCUUUCCAAGAGAAGCAAAAAGGAAAAACAGCAAAAACAACAAACACAAUGUCUACAAAUUCAAGUUGACAAGGAAAUGAAGGAACUGGACCAGAACAAGACUGUGUCAAACUCUUGGGCUUAAGUCACUGAGAAUACAUAAAUCAAGCCAAAUCCUCCACACUUCACUGAAUGAGGAAUUUUUUCACUGGAGCUUUCAAACUGACAAUAAAUCGUACGGGGAUAAGUCACAUAUCUUUAUCUGGAGCUGAAAUUCAAGAAAGAAAAGUACCUUAAAUUUGUCUUUCUUUAGAUCAACACUGCCUAAUCUAGAAAAUCUACCUAUUUACAAAAAUCUACCUGAUGAAAAAUUUCUGAAAUUAAAUAUGGUGAUGGUUGCACAACUUUGUAGCUAUACGUAAAAAAGAAACUGAGUUUUACACUUCAAAAGAGUGAAUUUUAUGGGAUGUGAAUUAGAGCUCCACAAAGCCAUUAUAAAAAAUAACAACAACCCCAGUAUAUAUUAACCUUAAAAUCUAUUUACAGAUUAUCCUUCUCCAAGUAUGCAUGUGCAUGCUAUGCAUACAAGUGCAGGAAGGCAGGGCAGUCAGCUAGGGAGUCAACAUUAGGAAGACCAGUUGGGGGCAGGGGGGAGGCAUGGAUUGUUAAUACUUUGAAAUUUAAUUUUUUUCAUCAAAUAUCUCAGAUAUUCAAAAAAGUAUAAAGUAAGAAUUCCUGUCAUGGCGCAGCUUAAAUGAAUCCAACUAGAAACCAUGAGGUUUCGGGUUUGAUCCCUGGCCUUGCUCAGUCGGUUAAGGAUUCGGCAUUGCCAUGAGCUGUGGUGUAGGUCGCAGAUGUGGCUCAGAUGUGGCGUUGCUGUGGCUGUGGCCGGCAGCUGUAGCUCUGAUUAGCCCCCUAGCCUGGGAACUUCCAUAUGCCAAGGGGUGUCUAAAAAGACAAAAAAAAAAAAAAAAGGUAUAAAAUAGAGUUUCCAUUGUGGCUCAGCAGUAGUGAACCAGACUAGUAUCCAUGAGGACACAGGUUCGAUCCCUGGCACCACUGGGUGGGUUAAGGAUUCAGCACUGCCAUGAGCUGUGGUGUAGGUCGCAGAUGUGGCUCGGAUCCUGAGUUGCUGUGGCUGUGGUGGAGGCCAGCAGCGGCAGCUCUGAUUCGCCCCCUAGUCUGGGAACUUCCAUGUGCUGCAGGUGCGGCCGUAAAAAGAAAAAAGAAAAAAAAAAAAAA